Molecule: ribosomal RNA, 492 nt
Filed under: uncultured bacterium
Lineage: Bacteria
Description: partial 16S ribosomal RNA
Rfam family: Bacterial small subunit ribosomal RNA
Source: RNAcentral
AGUGAACGCUGGCGGUAGGCCUAACACAUGCAAGUCGAACGGCAGCACAGUAAGAGCUUGCUCUUACGGGUGGCGAGUGGCGGACGGGUGAGGAAUACAUCGGAAUCUACUUUUUCGUGGGGGAUAACGUAGGGAAACUUACGCGAAUACCGCAUACGACCUACGGGUGAAAGCAGGGGAUCUUCGGACCUUGCGCGAUUGAAUGAGCCGAUGUCGGAUUAGCUAGCUGGCGGGGUAAAGGCCCACCAAGGCGACGAUCCGUAGCUGGUCUGAGAGGAUGAUCAGCCACACUGGAACUGAGACACGGUCCAGACUCCUACGGGAGGCAGCAGUGGGGAAUAUUGGACAAUGGGCGCAAGCCUGAUCCAGCCAUACCGCGUGGGUGAAGAAGGCCUUCGGGUUGUAAAGCCCUUUUGUUGGGAAAGAAAAGCAGCAGGUUAAUACCCCGCUGUUCUGACGGUACCCAAAGAAUAAGCACCGGCUAACUUCGUG